Molecule: ribosomal RNA, 485 nt
Filed under: uncultured bacterium
Lineage: Bacteria
Description: partial 16S ribosomal RNA
Rfam family: Bacterial small subunit ribosomal RNA
Source: RNAcentral
UUGAACGCUGGCGGAAUGCUUUACACAUGCAAGUCGAACGGCAGCACGGGAGCUUGCUCCUGGUGGCGAGUGGCGAACGGGUGAGUAACAUAUCGGAACGUACCCAGUCGUGGGGGAUAACUAUCCGAAAGGAUAGCUAAUACCGCAUACGUCCUGAGGGAGAAAGCGGGGGAUCGCAAGACCUCGCGCGAUUGGAGCGGCCGAUAUCGGAUUAGCUAGUUGGUGGGGUAAAGGCUCACCAAGGCGACGAUCCGUAGCGGGUCUGAGAGGACGACCCGCCACACUGGAACUGAGACACGGUCCAGACUCCUACGGGAGGCAGCAGUGGGGAAUUUUGGACAAUGGGGGCAACCCUGAUCCAGCCAUUCCGCGUGAGUGAAGAAGGCCUUCGGGUUGUAAAGCUCUUUCAGCAGGAACGAAACGGUCGGCUUUAAUAAAGUCGGCUAAUGACGGUACCUGCAGAAGAAGCACCGGCUAACUACGUG